CUCAAACUUAAUUGGCAAGGACAUACCCCCCAGCUAGCUGUGCGGGCAGGAGGGAAGCUGUUUGCUGGCCCAAAUCCCAAGUGGCACUGAGGUAAGAACACCUCCCCACCAAACUCACACACCACAUAAUCCCACCCACACAUUCCUACACAACCAAUCACAAGCAUCUAUCCCCACACUCCUACAUGUGCCCUUGUCCGCUUAGCUGCGCUAUCUCCCCAGGGCCUGACAUUUGAUUUAAUUUUCGCAGGUGGAAAGGACUUACUCAUGUCUAUUUCCUAGUACAUUGCAUUUAAAUGCUGUCGAAGAGCAAUCAAUAAAGUGGUGAAAUCAGUCUGACUGGAAUCCCUCAAUGAUUAAGCAAUGCAACACGGGGACUACAGGCAAUCAGG
This is a non-coding RNA of Pelobates cultripes (western spadefoot toad), 392 nucleotides long. The record is from the annotation of a GenBank genome assembly. NCBI's taxonomy places the organism in Eukaryota, Metazoa, Chordata, Amphibia, Anura, Pelobatidae.